AACGAACGCUGGCGGCAGGCCUAACACAUGCAAGUCGAGCGAGGACUUCGGUUCUAGCGGCGGACGUGUGAGUAACGCGUGGGAAUGUGCCCUUCUCUACGGAAUAGCCCUGGGAAACUGGGAGUAAUACCGUAUACGCCCUUUUGGGGUAAGAUUUCUCGGGGAAGGAUCAGCCCGCGUUGGAUUAGGUAGUUGGUGGGGUAAUGGCCUACCAAGCCGACGAUGCAUAGCUGGUUUGUGAGGAUGAUAAGCCACGCUGGAACUAAGACACGGCCCAGACUGCGACGGGAGGGAGCAGUGGGGAAUCUUAGACAAGGGGGGCAAACGUAAUAAAGCCAUGCGGGGGGAGUGAUGAAGGGGGUAGGGUUGUGAAGCUGUUUGAGCUGGGAAGAUAAUGACGGUACCAGGAGAAGAAGCCCCGGCUAACUCCGUG
RNAcentral lists this ribosomal RNA (433 nucleotides) under uncultured bacterium. Its description in RNAcentral is "partial 16S ribosomal RNA". It matches the Rfam family "Bacterial small subunit ribosomal RNA", at positions 29 to 507 of the family's 1533-position model. The record is from RNAcentral.